Molecule: ribosomal RNA, 439 nt
Filed under: uncultured bacterium
Lineage: Bacteria
Description: bacterial SSU rRNA
Rfam family: Bacterial small subunit ribosomal RNA
Source: RNAcentral
AACGAACGCUGGCGGCAUGCCUAACACAUGCAAGUCGAACGAGACCUUCGGGUCUAGUGGCGCACGGGUGCGUAACACGUGGGAAUUUGCCUCGGGGUAUGGAAUAACUCAGGGAAACUUGAGCUAAUACCAUAUAAUGUCUUCGGACCAAAGAUUUAUCGCCCUGAGAUAAGCCCGCGUAGGAUUAGCUAGUUGGUGGGGUAAAGGCUCACCAAGGCGACGAUCCUUAGCUGGUCUGAGAGGAUGAUCAGCCACACUGGGACUGAGACACGGCCCAGACUCCUACGGGAGGCAGCAGUGGGGAAUAUUGGACAAUGGGCGAAAGCCUGAUCCAGCAAUGCCGCGUGAGUGAUGAAGGCCUUAGGGUUGUAAAGCUCUUUACCCGAGAUGAUAAUGACAGUAUCGGGAGAAUAAGCUCCGGCUAACUCCGUGCCAGCAG